CUUUAUGCAGCACUCUCCGACCCUCGAGCGGUUUACUUCCUCUAAGAACGCAGAUUGGAGCAUCCUCGGACCUCAGACCCCAGAAUCCCUCAAAAGAGAAAUUAACACCCUCGGGACCGUAGCCGAAGGUCUCCCUUCCCCACCAUUCACCCACUGGGGCCUUGCUCCCUCCAGCACACCUGCAACGCGCUCACCGGGUAGCCGGAUGGGGAAAGGUCACUCCGAGGAGCCCAGAACCGCAGGUCUCGGGUGAGAUCACCGCCGCUGGCUUCUGCGCUCAAGCAAGUCUCGCGAGACUAGAGCCCAACUCCGGCCCGGGGAAGUGGAAGCAGAGUAGUGAGGACCGCGGAACUUCUGGUUGCCAUGACGACUCUACAGCCGGGUGCAGUUUUCACCUGCCUCCUCCGCUGCCCCGGGCCUAGCAGUGGGGAAGGGAAGGCUGGAGGCAGAUGGAGAUCUUCUGUAGACCUGCAUCUCGGAGCUGGGCACUUUUGGCCCCAGAGGCUCUGGGAUUGUAGAAGCCAGUACAUCUCUCUCUACUUGUAAAUGGCCACCAUGUACUCAUUUCAUCAGCCUUCCUGUGUAAAAUCUCAUCUCCAGCCCCCGCAAGAUGCCUUCCUUUCCCCCAUCCUAACGCCCCCACAAGACAGCUCUUUGAGCACAUAGCUCACUUAUGUUGGUAUUCUCAACGCCUCUGCGGGCUUUUUUACCUAGUAGCCCACAUCCAAACCAUGAAUAAAUACUGCUGGCCCUUCCUUCCGAAUGUGUGCAAGAGGCAACCACUCUCCAUCCAGGGAAAUGCUUCAUCUCUGCUUCAAGACAUUUCCCACCCAAUUGUCAUAAUAGUCUCCCUGUUGGUCUCCAUACAUAGCCUACUUACUCUGCCCUCUGACACUAAUAAAUAAAUCUG
Molecule: long non-coding RNA, 910 nt
Filed under: Cricetulus griseus (Chinese hamster)
Lineage: Eukaryota; Metazoa; Chordata; Mammalia; Rodentia; Cricetidae
Description: lncRNA (ENSCGRG00015035489.1)
Source: RNAcentral